RNAcentral lists this microRNA precursor (63 nucleotides) under Monodelphis domestica (gray short-tailed opossum). RNAcentral describes it as "microRNA mdo-mir-12399 precursor". Lineage: Eukaryota; Metazoa; Chordata; Mammalia; Didelphimorphia; Didelphidae. The record is from miRBase by way of RNAcentral.
GUCAGGGCGGGCCUGGGCCGGGUGGGGGCGGCGCCCUCGGCCCCACCCCGUCUCCCUGACCGC